This 250-nucleotide ribosomal RNA is filed under the name uncultured bacterium. Its description in RNAcentral is "partial 16S ribosomal RNA". It matches the Rfam family "Bacterial small subunit ribosomal RNA", at positions 524 to 776 of the family's 1533-position model. The record is from RNAcentral.
UACGUAGGUGGCAAGCGUUGUCCGGAUUUACUGGGCGUAAAGAGCGCGCAGGCGGUCGAUCAAGUCGCGUGUGAAAGCCCCGGCUCAACUGGGAGGGUCACGCGAUACUGAUCGACUCGAAGGCAGGAGAGGGUAGUGGAAUUCCCGGUGUAGUGGUGAAAUGCGUAGAUAUCGGGAGGAACACCAGUGGCGAAGGCGACUACCUGGCCUGUUCUUGACGCUGAGGCGCGAAAGCUAGGGAGCAAACGGG